ACGCUCGACACCUACGGGAGGCGGCAGUGGGGAAUAUUGCACAAUGGGGGAAACCCUGAUGCAGCGACGCCGCGUGAAGGAAGAAGUAUCUCGGUAUGUAAACUUCUAUCAGCAGGGAAGAAAAUGACGGUACCUGACUAAGAAGCCCCGGCUAACUACGUGCCCGCAGCCGCCGGUAAGUACUGAGCGGGCGUGGCGAAGGACG
Molecule: ribosomal RNA, 205 nt
Filed under: uncultured bacterium
Lineage: Bacteria
Description: partial 16S ribosomal RNA
Rfam family: Bacterial small subunit ribosomal RNA
Source: RNAcentral